GUUUAAUUAGUUUAUAUUAUAUAAAAAUUAUAAAUUGUGGAUUUAUAGAAGAUUUUAAAAUCAUUAAACA
RNAcentral lists this transfer RNA (70 nucleotides) under Amblyomma sp. RNAcentral's name for it is "tRNA-His". The record is from RNAcentral. Lineage: Eukaryota; Metazoa; Arthropoda; Arachnida; Ixodida; Ixodidae.